AUGGAGCCCGUGUUCUUCUCACUGGAGGAGGCGAUGCCCGAGCCCGACUCUAACCCCUGCCGGACCGCGUCGCCGCCCCUGGAGGCACACGUGCUCGCCGGAGGACUCGGAGGAGUGGGCGCCGGCAAGGUCGUCGGCGGUGGCGCGACGAACGAGUGCGCGACAGAAUGGUGCUUCCACGAGUCCGUGGACGAGCCGUGGCUGCUCAACGUCCCCACCGCGCCAGUGGCGAACCCCGAAGCUUCGACGCUUUACCCUAAUCCCACGGCCGAGGGGAGCCGCAAGAGGCCGUACGACGUCCAUGAGAUGGUGGGCGCGGUGGAGGUCAUCCCCACGCCGCCUGCGGCGAGCCCGGAGGUGGACCCCGUGGCGUACAACGCGAUGCUGAGACGGAAGUUGGACGCGCAUCUCGCCGCCGUCGCCAUGUUGAGGAACACUCAGGGAAUUUGCCGACAAAGCUCCCAUGACAAUGGAGCAUCGCAAAAUCCAGAUUCCAUCCAAGGCUCGGAAAACCACACCGAAGAUGUCAGUGUGCAUCAACUUAGCUCUUCCUCAUUGGAGCCAUCACCAUCAGAUGGUGAUAUGGAAGGGGAGGCACAAACAAUUGGAACUAUGCAUAUUAGUGCAGAGAAAGCGAAUAAGAGGAAAGAAUCUAACAGGGAUUCGGCGAGACGCUCAAGGAGUAGAAAAGCAGCUCAUACGAAGGAACUAGAGGAGCAGGUAAAGAUGGCCGAGGAAACUAUGAAGAGGGUUACAUGCACCAACAAUUUUCCUCAAGCAAUAUCUGGCACAUCUCUCAGGAUUCCUUUCAGUGGCUCCCCAUUGGAUGGUAUCUGUGAUAAUCCAUUGCCAACCCAGAACACCUCACUUAGCUACCUCCCCACUACAACAACAGAUUUUGCUGUGAAAAACAACUACAUCCCCGAGCCAGCUCCGGCGUUCCAGAUCCAUGAUCAAAUGUCUUCGCUACAUAUGCAACCUAUGUCAUGCCUGGAUCAUCACCCGCAAAUGAUGCACAUAGGUAUUCCUACAUCGACACCUACUCCGCAACGGGAAUCUACUACAUUGGAUUCAAAUGAAAUAGUCAACAUGAUGAUGUAG
RNAcentral lists this ribosomal RNA (1101 nucleotides) under Triticum aestivum (bread wheat). Its description in RNAcentral is "partial small subunit ribosomal RNA". Lineage: Eukaryota; Viridiplantae; Streptophyta; Magnoliopsida; Poales; Poaceae. The record is from RNAcentral.